CCUACGGGAGGCAGCAGUAGGGAAUAUUGCUCAAUGGGCGCAACCCUGAAGCAGCAAAGCCGCGUGGAGGAUGAAUGUUUUCGGAUUGUAAACUCCUUUUGUUAGAGGAGAUAAUGACGGUAUCUAACGAAUAAGCACCGUCUAACUCCGUGCCAGCAGCCGCGGUAAUACGGCGGGUGCAAGCGUUACUCGGAAUCACUGGGCGUAAAGAGCGCGUAGGCGGGAUAGCAAGUCAGAUGUGAAAUCCUAUGGCUUAACCAUAGAACUGCAUUUGAAACUGUUAUUCUAGAGUAUGGGAGAGGUAGGUGGAAUUCUUGGUGUAGGGGUAAAAUCCGUAGAGAUCAAGAGGAAUACUCAUUGCGAAGGCGACCUGCUAGAACAUAACUGACGCUGAUGCGCGAAAGCGUGGGUAGCAAACAGGAUUAGAUACCCGUGUAGUC
Molecule: ribosomal RNA, 440 nt
Filed under: uncultured bacterium
Lineage: Bacteria
Description: partial 16S ribosomal RNA
Rfam family: Bacterial small subunit ribosomal RNA
Source: RNAcentral